Molecule: ribosomal RNA, 104 nt
Filed under: Periophthalmus magnuspinnatus
Lineage: Eukaryota; Metazoa; Chordata; Actinopteri; Gobiiformes; Gobiidae
Source: RNAcentral
AAACCUCUUUGCCAAAGCCUGAUCUCAUCAGUUCUCUGAAGCUAAGCAGGGCUGGGCCUGGUUAGUUCUCGGAUGGGAGAUGACUGGGAAUACCACAGUGGGCC